UUUAGCAGAGAUGCUUUAGUGCCUUCGGGAACUCUGAGACAGGUGCUGCAUGGCUGUCGUCAGCUCGUGUUGUGAAAUGUUGGGUUAAGUCCCGCAACGAGCGCAACCCCUAUCCUUUGUUGCCAGCGAUUCGGUCGGGAACUCAAAGGAGACUGCCGGUGAUAAACCGGAGGAAGGUGGGGAUGACGUCAAGUCAUCAUGGCCCUCACGAGUAGGGCUACACACGUGCUACAAUGGCGCAUACAAAGAGAAGCGACCUCGCGAGAGCAAGCGGACCUCAUAAAGUGCGUCGUAGUCCGGAUUGGAGUCUGCAACUCGACUCCAUGAAGUCGGAAUCGCUAGUAAUCGUAGAUCAGAAUGCUACGGUGAAUACGUUCCCGGGCCUUGUACACACCGCCCGUCACACCAUGGGAGUGGGUUGCAAAAGAAGUAGAUAGCUUAACCUUCGGGAGGGCGUUUACCACUUUGUGAUUCAUGACUGGGGUGAAGUCGUAACAAGGUAAGCGUAGCGAG
This 513-nucleotide ribosomal RNA is filed under the name uncultured bacterium. RNAcentral's name for it is "bacterial SSU rRNA". It matches the Rfam family "Bacterial small subunit ribosomal RNA", at positions 996 to 1509 of the family's 1533-position model. The record is from RNAcentral.